RNAcentral lists this transfer RNA (73 nucleotides) under Camelus bactrianus (Bactrian camel). It matches the Rfam family "tRNA". From Rfam's summary of the family: Transfer RNA (tRNA) molecules are approximately 80 nucleotides in length. Their secondary structure includes four short double-helical elements and three loops (D, anti-codon, and T loops). Lineage: Eukaryota; Metazoa; Chordata; Mammalia; Artiodactyla; Camelidae. RNAcentral also lists the same sequence under 3 other names. The record is from Rfam by way of RNAcentral.
GGGUAUGUAGCUCAGUGGUAGAGUGUGUGCUUAGCAUGCACGAGGGUCCUGGGUUCAAUCCCCAGUACCGCCA